Pyrus x bretschneideri (Chinese white pear) is the source of this 3112-nucleotide long non-coding RNA. RefSeq lists it as uncharacterized. The transcript is spliced from 11 exons. NCBI's taxonomy places the organism in Eukaryota, Viridiplantae, Streptophyta, Magnoliopsida, Rosales, Rosaceae. The record is from RefSeq and is a predicted model, not a curated record.
ACUCUCCCUCAACCAUCACCAUCUACCCUUCUCCGUAAAACCCAGAGGUCGAGAUGCCUGAGUCCACAUCACGAUUCACCACUCUGGCCAGCCUCGAAUCCAUCAAACAACCACUAGCUCCCUGGACUCCCCUUUCUUUCUUUCAAUCGGUGGCUUCGAAGGCGACCGUGAGAGAAAGAGAAUGGGUCGUUGGGAUGCGGGGAGAGAAACAGAGAGCGAAGGGUGGGGAUCGUGAACAGCUGUCGUUCCUCAGUCCAGGAUUCACUCACAAUUGUCUAUGCUCUGUUGCACCUUCAGAUGAGUCACUUCUUGCUUUUGAUUCUGGACUCAAAUAAUAUUUUAUUAUUUCUUGCAUUUAUAUCUGCUUCCAUGAUUAGGUGAGUCACCUUGUCCUUUUGAUUUUGUACUCAAAUCUUAAUAUUUUAUUAUUUCUUGCAUUUAUAUCUGCUUGCAUAGUCACUUUGUCCUUUUGAAUUUGUGCUCAAAUCUUAAUAUUUUAUUAUUUCUUGCAUGUAUAUCUGCUUGCAGGUUUGCUUUGUCAUUUUGAUUUCGUACUCAAAUAUUUAUAUUUUAUUAUUACUUGCAUUUAUAUCAGCUUGCAUGUUGUGAUUGAGAGGCCAGAAUUUGUUUACAAAUCUUUCUACACUGUUUGGUUAGGUUAGGUAGCAUGCUUUUCUCUUUUUUUUUAAUCGAUUUGGGGAUUUUCUGCCCCUCUAUUUAUUCACUUGCUCUCAGUUUUGUUUCUCAGUUUCCUGUGUACUUCUGUUAACUGUUCAAAGGUCCAUUUUUUUCUUUUUUGUAGUUUAAAUUUUGUCUAUUAUUCUGUCUGGCCUACCAUUUCAAUUCCAAUGCUCUUAAAUUGUAUGCAUCUGUGUCUCUGUGUGUGCAUAUGAGGUUGUGCAUCGACUUCUCUGCUGCCUAAUUUUAAUGCAAUUUUUUUUAUUUCAAUUGUUUCAAGACGAGAAGACUCAUUAUUCUCUUUUUUUUUUGGAUUGCAGGAAACGUCCUGCUGACUUGGGAUUUUGCGUUGCAGGUUUCAUUUGGUUCUCUUUGUGGUUUUCUGGCAGUUAAUCGUUUGUUCCUUGCUUUUGUGGGUGAUUACUUACUCAAAUUUACCCUGGUGAUUGCUUUCUCAAAUUUACCCGAUUAAUGGAACCUCAACUGAUUCGGUCCUUGGUGCCGUAUGAACCAGCAAGCAAACUUGAAAUUAGAGUAUGCCGAAUUUGGGUCACAAAGACUAUUAGAGCUGAUCCCCAUGCUGCAAGCUUGGACUCUAUAUUUGCUGAUAAAGAGGGAAAUGCGAUCCAUGCAACUAUGAACUCCUGCGAUACCCAAUUCUUUUCUGAGCAGCUUAAUGUCGGCUUUACUUAUGAGAUAAACAAGUUUUGUGUCAUCCGAAACAAAACUUUGAGCAUAAUUGUCCCUCAUAACACAAUGAUUUAGUUGAACAGGUGGACAACCAUAGUCCUUGUUAAGAGAAUUGGCCAAGUCAUCCCAAUGCAGUGGUUUAAUCUGGUUGAAUUUGAUCAGCUUCACAAAAAAGUUGACAGAUAUGUGGAGCUAACAAGUAAACCAUAACAUAUUUUUUGCCGGUAAACCUUUAAAUUCAUUUUUAGCAGUUUUAAUGUAAUUGACUUUACCGUUAUUCUUUUUACUAUACUCUGCAUGGAUGUUUUUGGUUGUUUAAUGGCCUUACAACCAACUGAAGAGGUGAAUGUGCAAAAUGUUAGGGUUGCGAAAAAACGAAACCUGCAGAUACAAAAUAUAAGGUCAAUGAUCUUUUUAUUAAAUUGGUGUUCUAAAUUUAUACAUAAAUGACCGUAUAAACAUGAGGUACACAACACUAACUGCAUUUUGUUAUCAUAGAAGAGAUCAAAUGAGGGUCACCCGAUGGGCAGAAAGUGCUACAGGUUUUCAGGAGGCUGCACUCAAAAUCGCUGGUGCCGCCUGUAUUCAUUGCUUUGACUACUCUUAAAGUCAACCAGUACCAAGGGAAACUUGUUUUAGGAAGCACAGGCUCAACGGUGUGUUUUUUAAACCCCGAAAUCCCGUAGCUCACGAAAUAUAAACAAAGAUUUCAAUACCUGAACUUGCCCGUUGAGAUUCUACCUAGCUCUGCUAAAGGCUAUGCAAAGCCCCAUGUGAUUGCUGAUUCUGAGUUAAAUACUAUUGAAGAGUUGUUUCUCCUCGAUCCUACACUGAACAAAGAUACAAAAUUCAUGUGUAGAGCGACGAUUGUGGGUUAUGAUCUAAGUAAGGGAUGGUGGUACAAAUCGUGCCCCCUCUUGCCACAAGGCUGCAAAGAAAAUGUCUGCAGACUUUGAGUGCUAUGAACAUGGGUUGCUGACAACAUUGCCUAAACCAUGGUUCAGGAUAAAUUUUAUUGUGGAAGACAACACAAAUCAAUUCAACCUUAUGAUGAUCGGAAGGCACGCUGAAAAACUUUUGGGUGUAUCUUGCCACUCCCUGGUCAUAGAAGAAGGAUACGAUGAUUCUUUUAUGCUGCCGUCAAAUCUUAAGAAAUUUAUUGGCACCACAAAAAAAUUCCAGCUUCGAUUUGGAAAUCAAAACAAGGAAUUUCCCAAGGCGGAUUUUGUUGUGUGCGGAUUAUUUGAGGAACAACCACCAUCUGCCACAGCAACUAACUCGGUUGAACUGUGCACACCUGCUGCAAAUGCUGAGAAACAGAUUGUUAAUGUUGCAACCCCUGCCUCCUUUGUGCCCUUAGAACCAUGUGCUCAAGACAUCCAACUGCCUGCAUCAAACAAGACUACUGUCAAAAGAGCAUUAUUCGUUGAAUCGGAAGCUGACAAAAAACAAAGCAAAACAUGUGAGGAAAGCCAGCCACAAUCCACAAUUUUAGCUACAAUAUCAAAGGAAUUCACCAAGCCGUCAUUCACAAAAUAGAACCUUCAGACAAAGUUCCUAUAAGCGUACUGAGAAGCAGGUCGCAAACCAAAAAACUCAAAGAAAGGUGGUUUGAUGUAGAUUUUGUGGAUCUUUAGAUAAGGAUGAUUCAUAAUUGCACAUAUUUAUUGGAAUUAAACUUCCAAUCCGCAUUUUGUGCACCAUCAAAUCUUAUCUUAGGCUGCCAACAUUUCAAUAUAAUCUG